UACGGGGGGGUCAAGCGUUGUUCGGAAUUACUGGGCGUAAAGGGCUCGUAGGCGGCCAACUAAGUCCGACGUGAAAUCCCCAGGCUUAACCUGGGAACUGCGUCGGAUACUGGAUGGCUUGAAUUCGGGAGAGGGAUGCAGAAUUCCAGGUGUAGCGGUGAAAUGCGUAGAUAUCUGGAGGAAUACCGGUGGCGAAGGCGGCAUCCUGGACCGACAUUGACGCUGAUGAGCGAAAGCUAGGGGAGCAAACGGG
This 253-nucleotide ribosomal RNA is filed under the name uncultured bacterium. RNAcentral describes it as "partial 16S ribosomal RNA". It matches the Rfam family "Bacterial small subunit ribosomal RNA", at positions 524 to 776 of the family's 1533-position model. The record is from RNAcentral.